GACGUAGGAUGCAAGCGUUGUCCGGAUUCAUUGGGCGUAAAGAGUUCGUAGGUGGUUUGUUAAGUCUGGUGUUAAAGAUCGGGGCUCAACCCUGGGAGUGCACUGGAUACUGGCAGACUCGAGUAUGGUAGAGGCAAGCGGAAUUCCCAGUGUAGCGGUGAAAUGCGCAGAUAUCGGGAAGAAUACCGGUGGCGAAGGCGGAUCCCUGGACCUGGAUUGACGCUGAGACUCGAAAGCUAGGGGAGCAAACAGG
RNAcentral lists this ribosomal RNA (253 nucleotides) under uncultured bacterium. RNAcentral's name for it is "partial 16S ribosomal RNA". It matches the Rfam family "Bacterial small subunit ribosomal RNA", at positions 524 to 776 of the family's 1533-position model. The record is from RNAcentral.